CGCACAUUGCGCCCUCUGGUAUUCCGGGGGGCAUGCCUGUUCGAGCGUUAUUACACCUCUCAAGCUCGGCUUGGUAUUGGGCGCUCGCUUCCACGGAGGCGCGCCCGGAAGUUAGUGGCGGUUCCGGUGGACUUUAAGCGUAGUGAUUUUUUAUCGCUUUCGAAGUUCCCCCUGGAGUUCGGCCAGAUAACCCCUAAAUCAUACUUGAACGAUUAACCUCGGAUCAGGCAGGGAUACCCGCUGAACUUAA
Molecule: unclassified non-coding RNA, 250 nt
Filed under: Megalospora sulphurata
Lineage: Eukaryota; Fungi; Ascomycota; Lecanoromycetes; Teloschistales; Megalosporaceae
Description: partial contains 5.8S ribosomal RNA, internal transcribed spacer 2, and large subunit ribosomal RNA
Source: RNAcentral